ACUUUAUAUUUAGGAACGGAGUGAUCUAUUAUAGUACUAUGUAAGUUACAGCCAGCUGACCAUGGGUCAACGACUCAGCGUGCUACCCUUCCCAGCCAUAAAAAAAAAACCCAAAUUCUCGUUCUCCUCCCGUUCCUUUUUCACCGUUCCUUGCCUGAUCCAUGGAUUCAUCCAUCCACAUUAGUUGCUAGAUCCUGCCAAGGGAGGAGGACGGGGUGAGAAGGGGGAUUUGCGGCGGAGUGCGGUGGUUGCAUGCUCUCGGCGACGGCAGGUCCUCCAGCUCGACCACAUGUGCCUGCUGCUCGCCGCCGCCGUCAAUUGGAUGGCCGUGGAGUUGGGCCCCUUUGAACCUGAGCGGUUCCUCUCCUCCAGAGAGACCACGGGUGGAGGCGUGUUGUGGGCUUGCUACUUCUGUCAGUUUCCACCUAUGUAAUGUGCUACAACUUUGCAACAUUACUACUUGUUGCACACCGGUUGACUCGUCACAGGUAUGCUUCCUCCCUGUAGUUUGAUAAAAAGGUGUAUUCUUUCUAUUUGUUGUUACCAUAUAGUAUUAGCAAGUUAUAUUAAUGAUAUGUGUUUUUAAGACAAAAGAAAAAGGCUUGCAUUUAUUAACUGAAUUUGGUCCAUAUGUGUGAAUAUAUAUGCAAUAGAGUUUUCGCAUGUGUUGUAGGUGAUGCAUAUAACACUGGAGCUUUUUUCAUUGUUCUCCUCAACUGAAAAGGCUAGACAGAAGAGCUGUUACCAAGAACAUUAAACUCACUAAAGUGCAUGUCUGAAUUUAGUAGACCUUCCAUAGUAACCAUGAAUGUAAUUAGAAAAUGCAUGCAGGGAUUAAAUAUGCAAAUUGUACAUUGAUGACCUAUGGAAAAUAUCUGAACCCGAAUGGAUGAACUGAUGAUUUAGAACAACUCUUACUAACCUUUCAAAUUUCAGAAUUUACGGGAAUCACUUGUCGCAUAUGUCAUCUUCUACAAAAAUACUCCGCGGACAACAAAAUAGCUACUGUUACUUUAGGACUACAAAAUAAUCUAUUAGACUCAUUUUGCAGCGAUAAGAAAUAGCAUAUAGCAUGUUGUACAGGAAAAAAUUGUGCAGUAGAAUUGUAGCGUUGCCUUUCACUUAUAUUAGACACUCAAAAACUAUACUUAUUGUCAUAGAAACAUAGACUGAUUGGAACAUAUCUAGUACUCCCUCUGUAAACUAAUAUAAGAGCAUUUAGAUCACUAAAGUAGUGUUCUAAACACUCUUAUAUUAGUUUACGGAGGGAGUAGAAUAUAGCCUUCAGGUGCAGAACUGAAAACAACAUGCAACAGUACGAUUGUCUCUGACCACCCGGAUAAAUGUAUAAUAGUCCUUCCAUAGUAACCACGAAUGUAAUUAGAAUUAUUUCAAAAAAAAUGAAUGUAAUUAGAAAAUGCAUGCAGGGAUCAAAUAUGCAAAUUGUACAUUGAUGACCUAUGGAAAAUAUCUUAACUCGAAUGGAUGAACUGAUUACUGAGAUCAACUCUUACUAACCAUUCAAAUUUCAGAAUUAAUGGAAAUAACUUGAAUUUAUAAGGAUUCACACACAUAUCAUCUUCUAGGAAAAAUCUGCACACAAUACAAUAGCUAUUAUUACUUAAUGACUACUAAAAUAAUCUAUUAUGCUCAUUUUUUAACGAUAAGAGUUGCAUAUAGCAUCUUGUAUAUCAUAACAAUUCUGCAAACAAUAGUAGCUGCUGUUACUAACACAUUGUAUAAUAUGUAAUCUGUUAUAUCCUGAAUUCAGGACCUUUACGCAUUAGUCCUAAGGAUAGCAGUUAGCUUGUAUACAUAAACUUAUCCUUUUUCAAACUGUAAAUCUAAUAUGCACAAUGAUCUGAGAAAAUACCAUUGGAUACAUAUGUCUUUAUACAUUUUGUCAAACACUUGGCAAGCAUGUCCAAAUUCUAACCAACUGUUAGACAGAGUAGGGUGAGGAGUUGAUUAAAUCUAGAAAGAGGAUAGGGCCAUGUUUCAAACAAUUCUGCUAUUACGCCAAGUAAUACCUGCAUCUGGAGUCGAAUUGUUUCUCUUUAUGCCACUUGUAAGUCACAUCCUUGGUGGUCAUCUUACUAUGCUUGUAGACCAUGCUGAUCUAUCCUCUUGCAGACAGUACUACAUGCCUUGAUCGACCUGUGUAUGACACAACUCCAAGAUAGCACGAUAGCAUUCUUCCUACUUUGCGACAUGAUUCUUGUCAAGUGUUUCCUAUGGACAGGAACAGGAUGAUGAGACACGACUGGUUCCUCGGGAGGCGGAAUCUUCAACACCUAACCGAUUGAGGAGAAGAUCUUGUGGAGAGUGGACACAUAAGGCAUGGCUUCGAGGUUUUGGUGGCGCUGUAGGAUGUGGGCUGCAGCCACACAGGACAGGAUGAAUAGUGCGGCCCUAGAGUAGACCAUCAGAAACCCUAGAACUGGGCUACUCGAGAGGCAUAGUUUUGGGGUUUCGAUGGAUUUAUAGGAGGUGAGCUGCAGUUGCAUAGGAGGAAUAGCUCGGCCCUAGGGCAGACCAUCAGAAACCCUAAAACAUGGACUGCUCGAGAGGCAUAUGGCUUUGAAGUUUCGGUAGAGCUGUAGGACGUGAAAUCAGAAUGAGCUUCUAGAGCGUACAUCUCUUUUUGUAUGCAACGUGUCAGGAUUUUUUUUACCAUAUUGAUGCCCGUACUUGAACC
This is a long non-coding RNA of Triticum urartu, 2698 nucleotides long. RefSeq lists it as uncharacterized. The record is from RefSeq and is a predicted model, not a curated record. NCBI's taxonomy places the organism in Eukaryota, Viridiplantae, Streptophyta, Magnoliopsida, Poales, Poaceae.